UAUGGAUAGUUCGGCGAGAUGAGUCUGGUGUGGCAAUGCUACACAAGAGUCCAGGUGUUGCAAUGCCACACGUGAACCCAUUUAAGAAAAAAAGAUAAAUGUUAAAGUAGACCCUCGCGGAGAGAAUAUUGAAAGCACACUAAUAUUAACUUUACCGAAGACUCACAAUGAAGUAACACAAGUUUAAAGGAAAAUUUAUUUGAUAUUUUUGACAUCGGACAAAGAGAAACCAUUUGUGUUCUCACAAACUCAUCACUUGUUCUGUGAAGUGCCCACAGUAGUCUUAUGGUAUCUAUAUCCGUACAGGGAGAAGGCCCAGAGAUCAAGGAACAGAUCCAUAUCGUCCUUCAGUAAAGGAAGGAGGGAAUGAGGGAAAACAGGAGUUGCUGCUGCCUUUACUGCUAUAUCAUCUGUAAGAUUUGGGGGAUUCGAACGUCUGCCUCCUGAGUACCACUUGGUUCGGAGCCCCACGCACGUAACACCUCCUUGCCUUGCUCUCAACUGCCUCAG
This is a long non-coding RNA of Portunus trituberculatus (swimming crab), 510 nucleotides long. RefSeq lists it as uncharacterized. The record is from RefSeq and is a predicted model, not a curated record. NCBI's taxonomy places the organism in Eukaryota, Metazoa, Arthropoda, Malacostraca, Decapoda, Portunidae. The transcript is spliced from 3 exons.